This 3015-nucleotide ribosomal RNA is filed under the name Salmonella enterica subsp. enterica serovar 43:a:1,7. RNAcentral describes it as "23S ribosomal RNA". It matches the Rfam family "Bacterial large subunit ribosomal RNA". The record is from RNAcentral. Lineage: Bacteria; Pseudomonadati; Pseudomonadota; Gammaproteobacteria; Enterobacterales; Enterobacteriaceae.
GGGUUGUGAGGUUAAGCGACUAAGCGUACACGGUGGAUGCCCUGGCAGUCAGAGGCGAUGAAGGGCGUGCUAAUCUGCGAUAAGCGCCGGUAAGGUGAUAUGAACCGUUAUAACCGGCGAUACCCGAAUGGGGAAACCCAGUGUGAUUCGUCACACUAUCAUUAACUGAAUCCAUAGGUUAAUGAGGCGAACCGGGGGAACUGAAACAUCUAAGUACCCCGAGGAAAAGAAAUCAACCGAGAUUCCCCCAGUAGCGGCGAGCGAACGGGGAGGAGCCCAGAGCCUGAAUCAGCAUGUGUGUUAGUGGAAGCGUCUGGAAAGGCGCGCGAUACAGGGUGACAGCCCCGUACACAAAAGCGCAUGUGCUGUGAGCUCGAUGAGUAGGGCGGGACACGUGGUAUCCUGUCUGAAUAUGGGGGGACCAUCCUCCAAGGCUAAAUACUCCUGACUGACCGAUAGUGAACCAGUACCGUGAGGGAAAGGCGAAAAGAACCCCGGCGAGGGGAGUGAAAAAGAACCUGAAACCGUGUACGUACAAGCAGUGGGAGCACAGGUUUACCUGUGUGACUGCGUACCUUUUGUAUAAUGGGUCAGCGACUUAUAUUCUGUAGCAAGGUUAACCGAAUAGGGGAGCCGGAGGGAAACCGAGUCUUAACCGGGCGUUAAGUUGCAGGGUAUAGACCCGAAACCCGGUGAUCUAGCCAUGGGCAGGUUGAAGGUUGGGUAACACUAACUGGAGGACCGAACCGACUAAUGUUGAAAAAUUAGCGGAUGACCUGUGGCUGGGGGUGAAAGGCCAAUCAAACCGGGAGAUAGCUGGUUCUCCCCGAAAGCUAUUUAGGUAGCGCCUCGUGAAUUCAUCUCCGGGGGUAGAGCACUGUUUCGGCUAGGGGGCCAUCCCGGCUUACCAACCCGAUGCAAACUGCGAAUACCGGAGAAUGUUAUCACGGGAGACACACGGCGGGUGCUAACGUCCGUCGUGAAGAGGGAAACAACCCAGACCGCCAGCUAAGGUCCCAAAGUCAUGGUUAAGUGGGAAACGAUGUGGGAAGGCCCAGACAGCCAGGAUGUUGGCUUAGAAGCAGCCAUCAUUUAAAGAAAGCGUAAUAGCUCACUGGUCGAGUCGGCCUGCGCGGAAGAUGUAACGGGGCUAAACCAUGCACCGAAGCUGCGGCAGCGAACGUAUCACUUAAAGCGAUUCAGCGGGUUACGAUUGACGGAGCGAAGCGACGUCAAAGCGUAUACAAAGUCGAGUCGGUUUAAGGAUACGUUCGUUGGGUAGGGGAGCGUUCUGUAAGCCUGUGAAGGUGGCCUGUGAGGGUUGCUGGAGGUAUCAGAAGUGCGAAUGCUGACAUAAGUAACGAUAAAGCGGGUGAAAAGCCCGCUCGCCGGAAGACCAAGGGUUCCUGUCCAACGUUAAUCGGGGCAGGGUGAGUCGACCCCUAAGGCGAGGCCGAAAGGCGUAGUCGAUGGGAAACGGGUUAAUAUUCCCGUACUUGGUGUUACUGCGAAGGGGGGACGGAGAAGGCUAUGUUGGCCGGGCGACGGUUGUCCCGGUUUAAGCGUGUAGGUGUGUGUUCCAGGUAAAUCCGGUUCACUUUAACACUGAGGCGUGAUGACGAGGCACUACGGUGCUGAAGCAACAAAUGCCCUGCUUCCAGGAAAAGCCUCUAAGCAUCAGGUAACAUCAAAUCGUACCCCAAACCGACACAGGUGGUCAGGUAGAGAAUACCAAGGCGCUUGAGAGAACUCGGGUGAAGGAACUAGGCAAAAUGGUGCCGUAACUUCGGGAGAAGGCACGCUGACACGUAGGUGAAGUGAUUUACUCAUGGAGCUGAAGUCAGUCGAAGAUACCAGCUGGCUGCAACUGUUUAUUAAAAACACAGCACUGUGCAAACACGAAAGUGGACGUAUACGGUGUGACGCCUGCCCGGUGCCGGAAGGUUAAUUGAUGGGGUCAGCGCAAGCGAAGCUCCUGAUCGAAGCCCCGGUAAACGGCGGCCGUAACUAUAACGGUCCUAAGGUAGCGAAAUUCCUUGUCGGGUAAGUUCCGACCUGCACGAAUGGCGUAAUGAUGGCCAGGCUGUCUCCACCCGAGACUCAGUGAAAUUGAACUCGCUGUGAAGAUGCAGUGUACCCGCGGCAAGACGGAAAGACCCCGUGAACCUUUACUAUAGCUUGACACUGAACAUUGAGCCUUGAUGUGUAGGAUAGGUGGGAGGCUUUGAAGCGUGGACGCCAGUCUGCGUGGAGCCGACCUUGAAAUACCACCCUUUAAUGUUUGAUGUUCUAACGUGGACCCGUGAUCCGGGUUGCGGACAGUGUCUGGUGGGUAGUUUGACUGGGGCGGUCUCCUCCUAAAGAGUAACGGAGGAGCACGAAGGUUGGCUAAUCCUGGUCGGACAUCAGGAGGUUAGUGCAAUGGCAUAAGCCAGCUUGACUGCGAGCGUGACGGCGCGAGCAGGUGCGAAAGCAGGUCAUAGUGAUCCGGUGGUUCUGAAUGGAAGGGCCAUCGCUCAACGGAUAAAAGGUACUCCGGGGAUAACAGGCUGAUACCGCCCAAGAGUUCAUAUCGACGGCGGUGUUUGGCACCUCGAUGUCGGCUCAUCACAUCCUGGGGCUGAAGUAGGUCCCAAGGGUAUGGCUGUUCGCCAUUUAAAGUGGUACGCGAGCUGGGUUUAGAACGUCGUGAGACAGUUCGGUCCCUAUCUGCCGUGGGCGCUGGAGAACUGAGGGGGGCUGCUCCUAGUACGAGAGGACCGGAGUGGACGCAUCACUGGUGUUCGGGUUGUCAUGCCAAUGGCACUGCCCGGUAGCUAAAUGCGGAAGAGAUAAGUGCUGAAAGCAUCUAAGCACGAAACUUGCCCCGAGAUGAGUUCUCCCUGAGACUUAGAGUCUCCUGAAGGAACGUUGAAGACGACGACGUUGAUAGGCCGGGUGUGUAAGCGCAGCGAUGCGUUGAGCUAACCGGUACUAAUGAACCGUGAGGCUUAACCUUACAACGCCGAAGCUGUU